CUGCUGACCCAUCCAGAGAACACAGAACUCCUGACUGGUUGGGACUGAUUUUUGUACCAACAUUGAGGAGACCAAAUCUACAGCUUUCUGGUUGCUCUGUCAGAGGUGGUAAGAAGGCUCUUCCUGUGUGAGUACAGGAGACACGUGAAGAGAAGGGCUUCCCCUGCCAGUGCCUGAGUACCUGCGCCUCCUCCACAGAAACAGAGGAUCACAGACACUGCAGGACUUCAGAAAUAACUCACCUGCUGAAUCUCGAGAGUGAAGAAGCUGAAGAUUCUGCUGAGGUGUCUGAACUGCUGGGAUCACAUA
Molecule: long non-coding RNA, 309 nt
Organism: Bos indicus x Bos taurus (hybrid cattle)
Lineage: Eukaryota; Metazoa; Chordata; Mammalia; Artiodactyla; Bovidae
Source: Ensembl